GCGGGUAUAGGUUUAGUGGUAAAA
This 24-nucleotide transfer RNA is filed under the name Porlieria chilensis. Its description in RNAcentral is "partial tRNA-Gly". The record is from RNAcentral. Lineage: Eukaryota; Viridiplantae; Streptophyta; Magnoliopsida; Zygophyllales; Zygophyllaceae.